GGUUGAGUUCGAAAAAUUAAAUACUGGUUUUCUGGUGAAACAAGCUUGGUGUAAACAUACUUUUGUUAAAGCAUCCAUGAUUUUGAAAUAAAACCACAAUAUAAGUGAACUAUGGUAAGGCCUGUUGGUUGGACGGCGCUGAUUGAUGAUCAAUUCAUUGUGAUUACAGAUAUAUGUUUCUUUUUGUUAAUGAAGAUGGAAUUAGACGUGGACAGAUCUAGCUGAGUAAAUUAGGUGGCUUAUGUGGUUCUGGAACAAUAUAGUAAGAAUUAAGGAAACAUAUUGUUGGGGGUCUGCUUCGUCGCCGAAGGUCCCAUAAGAAGGAACACCUUCGGAAGAUUGACACAAAGUCGAAGCUAUCAAUCAAAGAGCUUCGGAGUACAUUUUCAGAUGCACCGACUUAAAGAUGAAAUGAGCAAUGGGCCUGUGAUAGUUGGUAUUAUGAUUGUAAACAUUUGUAAAGGGCAUGAAUGUAAUUUCUCACAGGCUGUGUCCUGCGCCUAUAAAUAGAUGAACAGUACCCCUAUACUGUUCACGCUAUCUUGUAUUCGCU
RNAcentral lists this long non-coding RNA (553 nucleotides) under Zea mays. RNAcentral describes it as "drought responsive lncRNA". Lineage: Eukaryota; Viridiplantae; Streptophyta; Magnoliopsida; Poales; Poaceae. The record is from RNAcentral.